Mesocricetus auratus (golden hamster) is the source of this 554-nucleotide long non-coding RNA. RefSeq lists it as uncharacterized. Lineage: Eukaryota; Metazoa; Chordata; Mammalia; Rodentia; Cricetidae. The record is from RefSeq and is a predicted model, not a curated record. The transcript is spliced from 3 exons.
AUGGCCUGAAACAAUAGCGUCUGAGAUGGAAGCGAAACAGCAAGGUCCUCACUUUCCCUCAGUAACCACAACAACUGGAGGAGAUUCUGGCCUGAGUGAUGAAUCUGCAACCAAAUGGUACCCAGAUGGCAACUACAGCUGCUCUUUCUACCAGCCGCACCUCAGCUCAUCCAUCUUCAGGACACACCCAUGGCUGAGGAGGAGUGAGAAACUGAGUUGACAGAGCCAUCAGAGAAUCUCUUUUGCCUUCUGCAUUCUUUUCCUUCGAUCAUGUUCCUUGGGCUUCAGGCUUCUUGUUCUCACCUUCAUGCUGCCUCUGUGAUGACACAGAAAUGCUGCCUGCGAACCAGGGGACUGAUAGACGGGUGAAUUCAGAGAAAUGAAAAUCUGAAAAGUACACAAGUUAAACCACUGAGAAGAGCCAGACAGAGAAAUAAAAGGAAGGAUAGAAGAUCAAAAGAGAACAAUUGAGCCACAACCACAGGCUAAGGAGCCAAAGCUGCUGAAAUCUGGGGAGGAGCAGGGGUCAAUCGGGACUCUGUUCAGCACCAAAA